Long non-coding RNA from Panthera uncia (snow leopard), 711 nucleotides. RefSeq lists it as uncharacterized. The record is from RefSeq and is a predicted model, not a curated record. NCBI's taxonomy places the organism in Eukaryota, Metazoa, Chordata, Mammalia, Carnivora, Felidae. The transcript has 4 exons.
UUAAAAAGCAGCCAUGACCUAGUAGAGUUAUAACUGGGGUUGAGAAGUGACUCAAAGAACAAAAAGAAAAUAAAUGAAGGUAGCACACAUUUUUAGGAACGUCAACAAAGAACACAAAUCUGGCAUUUUAAAAAUGUUUUUCUUUUGAAGAAUCUGGGACCUGUGACCUGUUGAGUUUCCCAGAGUCUGGAUUUUCCCGAUUAUAUAGUGAUGGUAUGUUUCAACAUGUUCUUCUGUAUUUCCUGCAAACAGGCAGCUAGAUCCAGGAGACUGGAUCAGACUCAGGAUUGAUUCCUUUGGCACAUCUAUAGGAAAGGAGGCUUCCCCAAGUCAGCAACCACUAACAACCUACCCGGCCUGCCUUGCAUAGAUGGAGACACGAGUAGAGGCGGUAUAGCAUUCUGUGAGGAGGCUGAAGCGGUACUACUAGCUUCAUUAGCUGCUGCACAGCUAGGCACAUAGAAAUUAGACUCUUCAGUGGAGCAUGCUCUGGCAGAUGAAAAAGUAAAUGACAUGUGUCAUCUCCAGGUGGAGGCUGUUAUGAGCCAGUGCAUCAUUCACUACCCUUUUAAUGGAGCUUCUAUCAGCCCAAGUCCCUGAGCAGAGCCCUCCUGUAGACCUCCAGUGGACGUGAAGCAGAACCAAGAAACAAACUUUUGUUAUGUGAAGUUACUAAGACUUGUGGCCCACUCUUACUGAAAAAUCAUAAUA